RNAcentral lists this RNase P RNA (385 nucleotides) under Armatimonadota bacterium. Its description in RNAcentral is "Armatimonadetes bacterium (hot springs metagenome) RNase P RNA component class A". It matches the Rfam family "Bacterial RNase P class A". From Rfam's summary of the family: Ribonuclease P (RNase P) is a ubiquitous endoribonuclease, found in archaea, bacteria and eukarya as well as chloroplasts and mitochondria. Its best characterised activity is the generation of mature 5'-ends of tRNAs by cleaving the 5'-leader elements of precursor-tRNAs. The record is from RNAcentral. Lineage: Bacteria; Bacillati; Armatimonadota.
UGAGCGAGUCGGGUGAUCGCCUCGAGCAAUCGAGGAGGAAAGUCCGGGCUCCGUAGGGCAAGGUGGUUGCUAACAGCAACGGUCGUGAGACACGGAAAGUGCCACAGAAAAGAAAACCCUGCGGGACCAACUGAUGAGUCGUCCGGGCUGGACUCGGAGACUGAGUUGGUGAACCCGCAGGAAAGCUGAAACGGUGGUGUAAGAGACCACCAGCUCCGUCGUGAGGCGGAGGCUUGGCAAACCCCACCUGGAGCAAGGCUGAAUAGGGGAGGGUUGAAGCUGCCCGCUGACCUCCCGGGUACGCCGCUUAGAGCCGCGCGGUGACGCGCGAGCCUAGAUAGAUGAUCACCCUCGACAGAACCCGGCUUACAGACUCGCUCACCCU